Molecule: ribosomal RNA, 465 nt
Filed under: uncultured bacterium
Lineage: Bacteria
Description: partial 16S ribosomal RNA
Rfam family: Bacterial small subunit ribosomal RNA
Source: RNAcentral
AACGAACGCUGGCGGUAUGCUUAACACAUGCAAGUCGAACGAACAAAAUUGGGGCUUGCUCCAAUUUUAGUGAGUGGCAAACGGGUGAGUAACACGUGGGAAUCUACCUAUCAGUACGGAAUAACAUUUGGAAACAGAUGCUAAUACCGUAUAUUCUCCAAGGAGGAAAGAUUUAUCGCUGAUAGAUGAGCCCGCGUAAGAUUAGGUAGUUGGUAGGGUAUGGCCUACCAAGCCGACGAUCUUUAGCUGGUCUGAGAGGAUGAUCAGCCACACUGGGACUGAGACACGGCCCAGACUCCUACGGGAGGCAGCAGUGGGGAAUAUUGGACAAUGGGCGAAAGCCUGAUCCAGCAAUACCGCGUGAAUGAUGAAGGCCUUAGGGUUGUAAAGUUCUUUUAGUUGGAAGGAUAAUGACGGUACCAACAGAAAAAGCCCCGGCUAACUCCGUGCCAGCAGCCGCCGUAA